Molecule: long non-coding RNA, 3955 nt
Filed under: Bemisia tabaci
Lineage: Eukaryota; Metazoa; Arthropoda; Insecta; Hemiptera; Aleyrodidae
Description: lncRNA ENSSSA1UGG009765
Source: RNAcentral
AUGGUAUCUUGCGAUCAGUUAGAUAACUCUUCCUCAUGUUCUUUUCUAUCCGCAGGACUACAAAUGAAGAUGAUGCUGGGAUCGCAGGUCUUAUCACUUUUACUCAUUUUUAUCCUCGUCGCAAAUGAGGCAGCGCAUAUUCCUGAACCUACUCUCACGGAGGAAAUCCAAAAGGAUGCCGUCUUCCCAAGAAGUUCAGAAAUGGCGUUUUUCGGUCUUUUUAACCAUUCAUGGUCGAUCGGCGUUUCUUGUGACGACGAAACUCUGAAGUACCAGGCAGUAAUCAGCUCCGAAACUGUCUCGCGAGUGACAUUUCCUCAAAACGACACACAGAGUGACAAAAUCAUCAACCGUUGCGAGUUCGUGGACAAACUGGCUAAGUUUUGGGGCGGUUACGUGUACAUCGAGGACGGAAUUCCUCCGUUCACCACAACCAUUACAGUCGCCAUUAUUCCUCAAUCAUACUACGGAUCAUUCAAAUUCCUAAUUAAAUGUUACGUUGUCGAUUCGCUUAUGACGAGUGGAUGUCUUCCAAUUUCAAAUGAUCUUGUAAUGGCACGGAAAGAUGAAGGCAAACUAAGGCGUGGCAAAAGUUGAAGGUCUAAGACAACCAGGGGGAGGGGGCGUACACCGAGAGAAAAACUUUGGCUUAUAUGGAACAUACAUGCUUUUAGUCUAGGUAACUGAAGUGUUCGGUCAUAGAGACCUAAUGCCACAUCAGAUAACUGUUUAUCGUUAUUCACACUAAAAAUUCCGGCUGUUUAAACCUGAGUCCGGUACGAGCGACCGAAAACUUCAGUUGCGGGGAUCGAAAACUUCAACGUUCCACAUAUGAAUUGAAUAAAAUCAGUUCUUGUGACCGAAGUUUUUUUAUUCGGUGUACAGCGGAGAGCGGAAAUAACGGGAUCCUUAACGCAAUAACGCAUCCUUGUCUCUCUCAGAGAAUAAACCAAGCUUAAAUUCUCACAGUUCAAAGUUUCUUAAAAGUUCCAAGACACAGGAGAUAUAAUGAGCUUGAAUUUCACCUCGUUGCACAUUAAUUUAAGUUUUUGGACUCGAGAUAGUUGUUGAACUGUUAGCUGAUUAUGGUUCCUCCUUAAUAAAAGUCUAUGAGUCGGCGGCAUCACUCCUAUAAGAAAGUCAAAAAUUGUGGAAAGCUAGACAUAGUUUAAAAUUAAUUUACUGAAAGCAUAUUUGGCCAGCAUCGGAUGGUCCCGUUGUUUAAUUUCACGUAAUCAUAUGUCAAAAGCCCUGGAAUAGGAGAUUUAGUAGAAGGGGGAAUAGAAGAAAAUUGAUGGAACAUGGGCACCGCUCUCCUGAGGAGUUUGUCUCGCAUCACAAUUUUCAAGGAACGUUUAGAAAUUAUGGCCGCAGUGUGUGGGAGUUAGAGUGCAAAAGGUUUAGAAUAAACUUAAGAGGUUUGAGCCGAUUUGGCUGAUAGAAGCCUACAAGCGUUAGUUAAAAUACUCAAUUUGGUUGGUUGGAAAUGUUACUUGUACAUUUUGAAAUAUACGUGAUCAAAAAUUGUUGACUCGUUUCCUUUUUUCCUCAUAUAUAAUCGAGAAAUACCAUUUAAAACUAGGUAAAACUUACUUCAGUUGCUAACUAUUGGUCGAAUUACUCCGAGAAAAGAUUAUUCGUACCUGAAUUCGUUCCUGAAACAGAAAAAGAAGAAAAGUAAAAAUUUAUGUUUUAAUGUUUUAGGCAAGUCUCGUUUAUUUACAUAAGAUAUACAAGCAAUGGAGGUGCAUGAGGAUAUUAAUUUAUUCGAUAUUUGUGGGAGAAAUUAUAGCUUCAGACAAAUUCCAUCAACGUUUAAAAAGUAUAAUUCUCAAAAAAUUCUUAUACAUCUUGCUACAAAUUUUGAAUAUUAGCUACUCGCCUAUUCUCUCGUACUAAGAAAAAACGGCGUAAGAGCAUUCGGGCAAUGCGACACUUUCCCCCAUAAAAUAUUUACCUUUGAGAAAACUCAUGUAAAUAUUUAUACUUGAAAUUUUCUGAUAUUUCAAUUUAAAUUGCGAUCAAAUUUGUUUGAAAAAUUGAAAGAAAAACAUUCACAAAUUUCCAAGUAAAUAUCUCUUUUUAGGAGGAAAUUUUGCAACGUUUGAAGACUCAUGCUGUGCUCUUCAGGCACGGAAGCAUUGAUUUAACCAAUUGGACUUCUGGCAAUUAUUAGGAACUAUUUCUGGCUCAUCCGUAAAAUCAUGUAAGUGCACAGGGAAAAUAAUGGUGCAUACGUUGUUUCUAAUCUGAGCCGGAAAUUGUAGGUCCUAAUUGAAAAUUUUAAUCCUAUUAUUGCCUCUAGCAGAGCAUCGGUCUGCCACCUACAAGAUUGGCCGCCAUCACGCCUGAACUUUCUUGAGUUUUCGAGAGCCUCUUUUUUCAAAAUUCUGGGGCACUCGAGUUGACAAACACAUGUACGACAUGAAUCAAAAUAAAAUAUGAAAAUCGAUGAAACUUUUUCCUAUCAUCAAUUAAUCUUUCUAGUUUUAAUCCCAAAUGUUGUAAACCCUUCUGUCCCAUAAUUCCAAAAUUCAAAACAAGAAAAUUUUUGACCAGGAAGCCUCAUAACAGUAGAUCCGAUAGAUUUUUUUUGAGCCGGUGACCCCGAGAAAAUUUUAGCUCCUAAAAUUGAUGUCUACGUUGCCAAUCUUCACAUAAAUAACUAUCCAAUUUGCAUGGGGUAAUGAAGUGAAAUUCUGGAGAUUUGCCUUAAAAGCUGGCAACGCAACCGCAAAUCCCGACGAGAAAGGCAAUUGGCGAGGGUUAAUUAUGUAAAUAUUGAACAACGCGAGCCUAACCUUGCUAUCCAAAAAUUAAAUUUCAACCCCAUGUUUGUCUCGCCAUCAAACAAAAUGGGGGGGAGGGGGGGGGGGUGCGUUAAGUCGCCAUUUUCGAAGACAGUCGUGGAAACGAUCCCGGAGUAACUUGCGCUUUGUUCAUAAUUGGCAUCGCUCCGUUGUUUCUUUUAUGACUGUCUCUCGUGCUGGUCUUGUUGAAUAUGUUGCCAAAUCGUCAUGGAGGAAAGCUUUUUUUCUCAUUUUCGGACAUUUUAGCAAGUCAAUGAAACUUUCUGGAAUGAAAGCAUAAUGACUAACUAAAUUCUACUUGAGGUGGCAUUUGGUGUAGGCUUUAAAGCGUUGCUGAAUUAUUCUUUACUGAAAUACUGAAAAUUUAAAGGUCUCGAUUAAUGGGUCAAUGCAUACCAAAUCAACAGACUCUUUUUUCGGCAUGCAGGCUAUACCUAGAUGCAUAACAUAAGCACAGGCCAGGAAAGCAAAAAUGGAACUCUAAAAGCUAUGAUUUGGAAAUCACUGUUUGAGGAUUCGACGUUAAUAUGUAGCUGAACGAAGCCUUUGUCGGAAAUUUCAACAUCAUCAAUUUGACAAAAUCACUGAUCUCGUUGACUUGCUAUGGUAUCCGAAAAGCGGACCAGUUUCAAGGAGGCUCCUACCUGUUUUUAACAUGAAUUGAACACUUUUGCAAUCAAUAAUUUUACCCUCGAUUGAGGCGUUCGGUGCACCGAGAACACUUCUCCGUUGCGAUAUUGCAGAGUCUCCGUUGCUAAUUUAAGUUCCACACUUUCGAAGUGAAAAAAAUUGUCUGAUUUCUUGUUUAAAAAUUUACGUUCAGUGCGUUAUAAAAUCAUAAAGAAUAGCUUUAAUCAUAAUGCAUGAAACGAUAGCGGAGAUUCUGAGAAACCACAAUCCAGAAGUGCUCCUUUUUUCCAUCCAGCAAUUCAAUUUUGUCCAGAAUUUUCCAAUUUUUUUUCAAUUUUUUUUUUCAUUUAUUUAUCAAAUUAUUUUGUCAAGUACCUAGAUCCAGUGUGGGAUUUUCAUAGAUUUAUUCACAAAACUGGCAACUCUCAUUCAGACUCCAGGCCCCAGGGACGGCUUUAUCUUCUUUGCUGCCGAGGUAAGGAAAAACGCAUUAAGAACCUUCAGGCGUCUCCAAA